This 73-nucleotide transfer RNA is filed under the name Felis catus (domestic cat). It matches the Rfam family "tRNA". From Rfam's summary of the family: Transfer RNA (tRNA) molecules are approximately 80 nucleotides in length. Their secondary structure includes four short double-helical elements and three loops (D, anti-codon, and T loops). Further hydrogen bonds mediate the characteristic L-shaped molecular structure. tRNAs have two regions of fundamental functional importance: the anti-codon, which is responsible for specific mRNA codon recognition, and the 3' end, to which the tRNAs corresponding amino acid is attached (by aminoacyl-tRNA synthetases). tRNAs cope with the degeneracy of the genetic code in two manners: having more than one tRNA (with a specific anti-codon) for a particular amino acid; and 'wobble' base-pairing, i.e. permitting non-standard base-pairing at the 3rd anti-codon position. RNAcentral also lists the same sequence under 3 other names. The record is from Rfam by way of RNAcentral. Lineage: Eukaryota; Metazoa; Chordata; Mammalia; Carnivora; Felidae.
GUCUGGCUGGCUCAGUCGGUAGAGCAUGCGACUCCUGAUCUCGGGGUUGUGAGGUCAAGCCCCAUGUUGGGCG